This 253-nucleotide ribosomal RNA is filed under the name uncultured bacterium. RNAcentral's name for it is "partial 16S ribosomal RNA". It matches the Rfam family "Bacterial small subunit ribosomal RNA", at positions 524 to 776 of the family's 1533-position model. The record is from RNAcentral.
UACGUAGGUGGCAAGCGUUGUCCGGAUUUCUUGGGUUUAAAGGGUGCGUAGGCGGCUUUGUAAGUCAGUGGUGAAAUAUGGCAGCUCAACUGUCAGGGUGCCAUUGAUACUGCGGAGCUUGAGUACAGAUGAGGUAGGCGGAAUUGACGGUGUAGCGGUGAAAUGCUUAGAUAUCGUCAAGAACACCGAUAGCGAAGGCAGCUUACUGGGCUGUAACUGACGCUGAGGCACGAAAGUGUGCGGAUCAAACAGG